CCCCUAGAUGUUCUGGGCCGCACGCGCGCUACACUGAACAGUUCAACAAGUCUUAACCUUGGCCGAUAGGUCUGGGUAAUCUUUGAACGCUGUUCGUGAUUGGUAUAGACCUUUGCAAUUAUGGGUCUUCAACGAGGAAUUCCUAGUAAACGCAAGUCAUCAGCUUGCAUUGAUUACGUCCCUGCCCUUUGUACACACCGCCCGUCGCACCUACCGAUUGAAUGGUCCGGUGAAAUCUCGGGACGGCGGCUUGGUCGCUUGCGUCCGACUGCUGAAACUUGAUUAAACCAUAUCAUUUAGAGGAAGGUGAAGUCGUAACA
This 320-nucleotide ribosomal RNA is filed under the name uncultured eukaryote. RNAcentral describes it as "partial 18S ribosomal RNA". It matches the Rfam family "Eukaryotic small subunit ribosomal RNA", at positions 1470 to 1796 of the family's 1831-position model. The record is from RNAcentral.